GAUCCUUUAGUAUAGUUAGUAUGCUCGACUUCCAAUCGAGAGGGUGUAAGGAUUA
RNAcentral lists this transfer RNA (55 nucleotides) under Strongyloides fuelleborni fuelleborni. RNAcentral describes it as "tRNA-Gly". The record is from RNAcentral. Lineage: Eukaryota; Metazoa; Nematoda; Chromadorea; Rhabditida; Strongyloididae.